Molecule: ribosomal RNA, 494 nt
Filed under: uncultured organism
Description: SSU rRNA
Rfam family: Bacterial small subunit ribosomal RNA
Source: RNAcentral
ACAUGCAAGUCGAACGAAGUCGUUAUACUGAAUUUGAAGAUGAACUGUGAACUUGUUCAGAGGGACUUAGAAGAUGAUUUAUAACAAUGGCUUUAGUGGCGGACUGGUGAGUAACGCGUAAGUAACCUGCCUAUCAGAGGGGAAUAACAGUGAGAAAUCAUUGCUAAUACCGCAUAUGCUCACGGUAUCACAUGAUACAGUGAGGAAAGGAGUAAUCCGCUGAUAGAUGGACUUGCGUCUGAUUAGCUAGUUGGUGGGGUAAAGGCCUACCAAGGCGACGAUCAGUAGCCGGACUGAGAGGUUAAACGGCCACAUUGGGACUGAGAUACGGCCCAGACUCCUACGGGAGGCAGCAGUCGGGAAUAUUGCGCAAUGGAGGGAACUCUGACGCAGUGACGCCGCGUAUAGGACGAAGGUUUUCGGAUUGUAAACUAUUGUCGUUAGGGAAGAUACAAGACAGUACCUAAGGAGGAAGCCCCGGCUAACUAUGUGCC